GCAAACUUGGUCAUUUAGAGGAAGUAAAAGUCGUAACAAGGUCUCCGUUGGUGAACCAGCGGAGGGAUCAUUACAGAGUGUAAAAACUCCCAAACCCACUGUGAACCUAUACCAAACGUUGCUUCGGCGGACCCGCCCCGGGCGCCUCCCCUCGCGGGGUGGUGCCCCGGACCCAGGCGGCCGCCGGGGACCCCCAAACACACUGUAUCUCCAUGUGUACCUCUGAGUGUUGAUUAUCACAAUCAAAAUUACAACUUUCAACAACGGAUCUCUUGGCUCUGGCAUCGAUGAAGAACGCAGC
This 301-nucleotide unclassified non-coding RNA is filed under the name uncultured fungus. Its description in RNAcentral is "partial contains small subunit ribosomal RNA, internal transcribed spacer 1, and 5.8S ribosomal RNA". The stretch from base 1 to 73 matches the Rfam family "Eukaryotic small subunit ribosomal RNA", at positions 1759 to 1831 of the family's 1831-position model. The record is from RNAcentral. Lineage: Eukaryota; Fungi.